The sequence is an unclassified non-coding RNA, 168 nucleotides long. The stretch from base 1 to 46 matches the Rfam family "Eukaryotic small subunit ribosomal RNA", at positions 1786 to 1831 of the family's 1831-position model.
AAGUCGUAACAAGGUCUCCGUAGGUGAACCUGCGGAGGGAUCAUUACGAGUCUUUCGACGUUGACGAUUUUCAUGUGUCUGCGGCUCCGCAAGGGUAAGACCGCACCAUUACAAUUUCUGAAUCAAGUCUUAUAUACAAAACUUUCAGCAAUGGAUCUCUUGGCUCUG